GCGGACGGGUGAGUAAUGCAUAGGAAUCUGCCCGGUAGUGGGGGAUAACCUGAGGAAACUCAGGCUAAUACCGCAUACGUCCUACGGGAGAAAGCAGGGGCUCUUCGGACCUUGCGCUAUCGGAUGAGCUUAUGUCGGAUUAGCUGGUUGGUGAGGUAACGGCUCACCAAGGCGACAAUCCGUAGCUGGUCUGAGAGGAUGAUCAGCCACAUCGGGACUGAGACACGGCCCGAACUCCUACGGGAGGCAGCAGUGGGGAAUAUUGGACAAUGGGGGCAACCCUGAUCCAGCCAUGCCGCGUGUGUGAAGAAGGCCCUCGGGUUGUAAAGCACUUUCAGUGAGGAAGAAGGCUUGUCGGUUAAUACCCGGCAAGAAAGACAUCACUCACAGAAGAAGCACCGGCUAACUCCGUGCCAGCAGCCGCGGUAAUACGGAGGGUGCGAGCGUUAAUCGGAAUUACUGGGCGUAAAGCGUGCGUAGGCGGCUUGAUAAGCCGGUUGUGAAAGCCCCGGGCUCAACCUGGGAACGGCAUCCGGAACUGUCAGGCUAGAGUGCAGGAGAGGAAGGUAGAAUUCCCGGUGUAGCGGUGAAAUGCGUAGAGAUCGGGAGGAAUACCAGUGGCGAAGGCGGCCUUCUGGACUGACACUGACGCUGAGGUACGAAAGCGUGGGUAGCAAACAGGAUUAGAUACCCUGGUAGUCCACGCCGUAAACGAUGUCGACUAGCCGUUGGGGUCCUCGAGACCUUUGUGGCGCAGUUAACGCACUAAGUCGACCGCCUGGGGAGUACGGCCGCAAGGUUAAAACUCAAAUGAAUUGACGGGGGCCCGCACAAGCGGUGGAGCAUGUGGUUUAAUUCGAUGCAACGCGAAGAACCUUACCUACCCUUGACAUCGUGCGAACUUUCCAGAGAUGGAUUGGUGCCUUCGGGAACGCACAGACAGGUGCUGCAUGGCUGUCGUCAGCUCGUGUUGUGAAAUGUUGGGUUAAGUCCCGUAACGAGCGCAACCCUUGUCCCUAUUUGCCAGCGAUUCGGUCGGGAACUCUAGGGAGACUGCCGGUGACAAACCGGAGGAAGGUGGGGACGACGUCAAGUCAUCAUGGCCCUUACGGGUAGGGCUACACACGUGCUACAAUGGCCGGUACAAUGGGUUGCAAAGCGGCGACGUGGAGCUAAUCCCAUAAAGCCGGUCUCAGUCCGGAUCGGAGUCUGCAACUCGACUCCGUGAAGUCGGAAUCGCUAGUAAUCGUGCAUCAGAAUGGCACGGUGAAUACGUUCCCGGGCCUUGUACACACCGCCCGUCACACCAUGGGAGUGGACUACACC
RNAcentral lists this ribosomal RNA (1326 nucleotides) under Halomonas sp. SA7. RNAcentral's name for it is "bacterial SSU rRNA". It matches the Rfam family "Bacterial small subunit ribosomal RNA", at positions 98 to 1421 of the family's 1533-position model. Lineage: Bacteria; Pseudomonadati; Pseudomonadota; Gammaproteobacteria; Oceanospirillales; Halomonadaceae. The record is from RNAcentral.